Molecule: unclassified non-coding RNA, 3384 nt
Filed under: Hevea brasiliensis (rubber tree)
Lineage: Eukaryota; Viridiplantae; Streptophyta; Magnoliopsida; Malpighiales; Euphorbiaceae
Source: RNAcentral
AAAACGAAAUUGAAUGGAAAGGGUGGCAGAGGUAGGUUCCUUGCAUUCAACGCAUCUUUCGUUAUUUAGGUUUGGGUUCGGAUUUGGGUUCGGAGUUUUGUGUAGACUUGUUCAGGAUAAGAACGACCUCCACUCUCUCUCUCUCUCUGUCUCUCCAAGUCUCUUGCAUUGCUGCUUCUCUUUAUAGAAGAACUCCAUUUUCUCUUGCAGCUACCUUGAAUUCUCCAAAGCCUUUUCUUUCUUUGAAGUUAUUAUAUAGCUUUACAUUCUCUCUCAUUAGGAGCAAAACACACGCCUUUACUCAAUAGAAGCAGAGUGCUCUGUUUUUCAUAAGCUCUAUUCAAGCUGGCAAUCGAAAAUCAGGAAACCACUAUCAAGCCUAGAAACAGGAGAAUCAUGGUAUCAAGGAGCAUUUUUUAUUUAAUUUUUUAUCUGGAUUUUGCUUUACUUGAUUUUGAAACAAUAUUCUUUGUUUGCUUGAAUGCAGCUUUUUGUUUUCUUUUGAAUUGAUUCAAUGGCCUUCAAUUUCUUUAUUUUUACCAUUUAAAGUCUGCUUGACCUGAUGCAAAUCAAUGGUCUUUUGUAUAUGUUUCGGUUCUAUUGAGUUUACUUCAUGGUUUUUUAUUGUUCUGUGUAGGGUGCUGGAGGACCUGAGGACGACGACAACAGGUGGCCGCAAUGGCUAAGGCCUUUGUUAAAGGAGAGCUUCUUUGUUCAAUGCAAGUUGCAUGCUGAUUCCCACAAGAGUGAAUGCAAUAUGUAUUGCAUGGAUUGCAUGAAUGGGUCUCUCUGCUCCCUCUGCUUAGCCUACCAUAAGGACCAUCGAGCAAUUCAGGUGUAGUAAUUGGCAGUGAAUUCACUCAUUUUCUUGAUUUCUAACCCAUUCAGGCAUCCACGUUUUAUUCCUCGCUGUUAAAAUGUUCUGUUCUCUAUAUGGGUUCUAAAUUUCUGUAUCAUUCUCGCAGAUGCUUUUUUUGUGUUAAGGAAUCCUCUGUUUUUCAAUCCUUUUAUAGCAUUUGGAAUCCAAUAUGUUAAGUUUCUUCUUUCUUGAUUGAUUUCAUUUUCAUUCCCUUUUGUUAUACAUACUUUUCUGCUUUGGGGUGAAGAUGAGGUUUCGCUAAUUUUGUUUUUCAUAUUGUGGAUAACAGCUCAAUCUUAAUUUGAGUGUAGGUUAUACAUUACCAGAAUCAGCCUUUCUUUUUUCCUAAUUUUUCUCAGUUUCCAAACAGGGCAUUUCAUUGCUAAUUAAAAUGAAUUUCCUUUCUUAAAAUAAAAGAACAAAAAGCUAUGUCAGCGAUAUUCUUAACCCAGAAUUGACAUGGGGUUUCUCCAAUUUCGAGAUUGAUUUGCAUUUUUCUGGAAGAUGAAAAAAAAAAUCAUGAAAAAAUUGAAAUGGAUAUUGUCUAACACUUGUAUUUUCUUUGUGAAUGACAGAUAAGGAGGUCCUCAUACCAUGAUGUGAUAAGGGUAUCUGAGAUACAGAAGGUGCUGGACAUAUCUGGUGUCCAGACUUAUGUAAUCAACAGUGCGAGGGUUGUUUUCUUGAAUGAAAGGCCUCAGCCUAGGCCUGGCAAAGGUGUCACAAACACCUGCGAGGUCUGCGAGCGCAGCCUUCUUGAUUCCUUCCGUUUCUGUUCCCUUGGCUGCAAGGUGUGACCACAUUGCUCUCAUUUGUUUAUUCCUUUUCUGUUUGUUUGCUGAGAAAAUUGUGGAAUUAAGGAAUGAGAAAGAAAAUUUAGACCAUUUUGUUUCUCUUUCUUUUGUUCUUCAAGGGCGUGGAAAGUUCAACUUUUGUGUGAUUGUUCAUUUCUGUGGGUAAAGUCAGUUUGACUUCUAUGAGGGUGUUCCAGUGUCUAUUGGAAAUUCCAUCCAUUUUGCCAUUAUUUUCUUAUCAACCAAACCGAUUACAACCGUGACGAAAUUGAACUGGAUUACAAACUUCUUCUGGGGUUAAUUAUAUUUUUCAGUACUCAUCAUUGAAAUGAUCUGAUUAGUUGUUGUUGUUUACACGGUAUACUGCACUUGUAAAUCAGCAUAUUUUCUCUAGAAUUUUUCUUAAAACUCAUUGCGAUCAUUGAUUGCAGAUGGUUGGGACGUCAAAGAAUUUUCAGAAGAAGAAGAAACAACAAAUAGCAAUGAUGUCUGAUUCAGAGGACUCUUACAGCAGCAGCAGCCAUGGCCGAUACAAGAACAAUAGCAACAACGACAAAGCGCAAAGCUUCUCUCCCUCCACACCUCCUCCAACUUUGGUCAGUUACCAAACUGCCAAGCGAAGAAAGGGAAUCCCCCACCGCGCCCCAAUGGGAGGACUAAGCAUAGAAUACUAGCUAUAGCCUAUAGUGCUUUUGAUCAAUUAUGCAAUCACCUGAUAUACCAACCCAAUGCUGCAGCCCCCUUGGACCAGCAUGGGAGGUUUAGUGCUUUCUAGCAUGUACAUAGAAGCAGCAGCAGCAGAAAAUAGAAGUGUCAAAGUUGGAGAAAAGGACAAUAAGAUAAAAUAUGUGGACUGGCUGGCAAAUAAUAAGAAGUAGCCCUUGUAUCGUAAAAGGAAAUUAGUUUGGCUUUUAGAGUGGAGGAGCUUAUGAUUACACUAUGUGUUGUAUGUUCUGGUAGGAGUCAUAAUUGUUCCACAAACGCUUUUCUAUAAGUAGCUGAUAUAUUUAUGCUGCAACAUAUUGGAAAAUUUAUAUCUGUUGGCUCUCCUGUAGGCUACAAGAAUAUACUGUGGAAACAGCCAUUGCUAUUGUUGUUGAUGGAAAUGCCAUCCUGAAGAUCGACACCCAGCACUUGAGGGACCUUAGCUUUCGAAUUGGUUCUGUCUACCAGUUCAUUGGUGAACUCCUUAUCCAACCUGACGAUGAGGCAAUCUUGCAGGCGCGUGUGGGUAGGAAUGUCGAUGGCAUUGACCUCAACCUUUAUCAUCAGUCAGUACAACUAUUAAGACAGUUUCAAGCUGACCACUUAAAAAAUUCCACAACUUGAUGCAACUUUGAAGUUUAAUAGACCUACCAGGGGAUUUGGAGAGAGAAUGGUGUUGAAGUAAAACUUUGGAAUUUUUUGCUUGUGUCUUUUCUUUUCUUAGUGCUAUGAACUAUAUGAUAAUGUGGUCAUAUGCAUAGUGAAACUGCUUUUAAAGCUGCAAAUUAACAGGAUCAAAAAUUCAAAAUUACUCUUAUGGCUGUAGUUUUCUUUCCUCGUUAUUUCCUUCUGUCGUAUAAUUUGUACCCAAAUUUUGUCUUGUUAGGUGAAGAUGCCUCUGUGCAACAGUGAGUGUUGUACAACAAGCUUUACCUAGAAAAGGAAAGAAAUAGAAAGACACAUUUUGUUUGGUGAAUUCUUCUCAUAACCAUCUAUUGUUGGGUAAAUUAUCAAAAACUCCAUUAU